This 268-nucleotide signal recognition particle RNA is filed under the name Mesoaciditoga lauensis. Its description in RNAcentral is "signal recognition particle sRNA large type". It matches the Rfam family "Bacterial large signal recognition particle RNA". Rfam says of the family: The signal recognition particle (SRP) is a universally conserved ribonucleoprotein involved in the co-translational targeting of proteins to membranes. The record is from RNAcentral. Lineage: Bacteria; Thermotogati; Thermotogota; Thermotogae; Mesoaciditogales; Mesoaciditogaceae.
CCAUGCUAAGCGGGGAGUCAGCGGUUCCCUUAACCCGAAAUCCGCUCUACGCGGGGCUGAAGACCUUUCUCAGGUUGUCCAGGGUAUGGUAAGGACUUCACUCGAAGGCGUUGAAGACAGGGUCCUGCGCGACGGAAAACCACGAACCUGGUCAGGUUCGAAAGAAAGCAGCCAUAAGUGGCCACUUCCGGGCGACACAGGGUAGCCUUAUCGGAGUCUCUCGAUGAAGCACCGCCUUGUUCUGAACGAUCGAAGAAAGGGUGCAUGG